GCGGUGACCGGUCGGUCCUCGCGCGCCUCCCCGGGUCCCUGCAUCGAGUUGUGAAGGCACUGGCUGGGCGCGACUCAGGCACCCUGGAGGGACUCUCCGAGGGGUGCCGGGCUGCAGAGCGGAGCCCGAGAAAUCCCCUCUGGGGAAGGAGAGGUGGGCCGGUUCCGAUCCCGACGUUCCCUUCGUCCCGGGCGUGCGGAGAAGCCUCUAAGAGGGCUGACUCCGACCUUCACGCACGUUAACCCUCAAACCGGUUUAGCCUCGGCGUUUUGGAACCCAGCCCACCGAGCCGCGGAGAUCGCCUUGGCGUGCAACUCAGGAAAGUUUGAAGGGUCCUGCCCCCAACCCCCCGUCUGCACGUGCACCCUCACCUUUCCUGCCUGUGAAAGCUGGUGACCACCCUGCUCUCCUUUCUCUUUCUGCAGGUCCGGAAAUCUGCUUGGAGCACGGAACUACCCAACUCGAGCCUGGGUAGACGACCCGCGCGCUCCUCUCGCAGCUAAUUCGGGAUCAUUAAUUUCAUCGGAAAUGAGGUAACCAGUGUAGGAGAUAGAGAAAGCAAACCGAGCAUCAGAUGGCAGUUCUCGUGAAUCCGCGCGGUAAGAACUUCCUCUGGACUCAAUUUUUUUAAGUGCGGUUCUCAGCUCCUCGCCACCCGUCCCUCCGUGGGUACCACCGCCAGGCAUUAGCUGGAAGGGAAGGACUCUUAUUUGGACCGGUGGUACCUGACCAACAGGUGUGCCACCUGGAGGAGGAGAAGGCACGGCCAUGCUACAGGGAGUUCAGUGCGGCGGCGUUCUCCUGGCUGCAGAUAAUUCUGGAAGGCCGGCCUGACUCGGGCGUCUGCGUGAGGCGAUGCCACAGCUCUGCUCGGAAGCGUGUGAAAUGUCACUCUUCCACCUGGAGUCAAGGCCACUGUCACCAGAACUCAAGACCAGGAUCUGAAAGUAACCUGGCCACACAAAGGCAUAUAAAACACUACCACCCGUUCACAGACUCACUCCACUUUAUAUUUGUGGGAAACGAUCCUAGAAGCUGAAAUACGUUCAGAGUUCAACAGUCUGGGAAAUUUAAAAGAGGGAGGAAAAAAGCCCUUCAUCCAAGGAUCUGAGGACAGAACUCUGCUCUUUGAGGAUGGGAGGAGGCAAGAAGACCCUAUUCAUGGCUGCAAGAGAGGAAAAGAGCCCCAGAAGGAAACUACCAGCAGAUGGGAAAUCUUGGUAAGAGAAUCCUACCCUGGAGCAUCUCCAAAAAAUUCAUACAAACCAACAGGAGAGGCAACUUUAUAUACCUGUGAAGAUCAAAGAACUAUAACACCAGAUCUUCACGAGAGGACCAGACAAUUAUCAUCAGAGGAAGCUCAAAAAGUAUAAGUGAAGUGCCCCCUGAACUUGAAAACACAAGCUUGACAGCACUAAGAGUUCAUAUACAACUGGUGAGACCAAUGGAAUUAUUUCCUCUGCCUGAACCUCAAGCUGAAAUUAGGGGCCUUUGGAGAAUGAUGGUGUUACUGAUAGCCAAAUACUGACCAUCUGCAACCACAGUUAUGGAUUGUGGCUUGAUUCUUCUUAUUUUAAAAGUUGAGAUGAAUUUAAAAAGCUGUUGUCAAAUUUCUCAAGGAGUUCAGGGACCUUCGUUGUCAAAGUGCCACCUACUGGAUGCAAGCUCCUAUUUGGUUAAUCCUGAAAAGCAGAAGACUGACAGCAAACCUGAACUGCCCCCGGUGCAUUGUCAUCUUAAAAAAUGAUAACUUCCACUCGCAAGAUGAGUGACCCUAAUAAAGAUCGUAGGGUUGUGUCUCAGAAGAGGCAAAGUGGUGAGCGUUCCUAUGAACAACGAGUGAACCCUGGGUCUGAGGAACCUGGGCUCCUAAGCAAGCAAUUGUAUUUAUUUAUUUGCAUUUUCCUCAUUAAAAUAUUUUUAAAAUUUA
Odocoileus virginianus texanus is the source of this 1930-nucleotide non-coding RNA. The record is from RefSeq and is a predicted model, not a curated record. NCBI's taxonomy places the organism in Eukaryota, Metazoa, Chordata, Mammalia, Artiodactyla, Cervidae.